CCUACGGGUGGCAGCAGUGGGGAAUAUUGGGCAAUGGGCGCAAGCCUGACCCAGCAACGCCGCGUGAAGGAAGAAGGCUCUCUGGUUGUAAACUUCUUUUUUCAGGGAAGUGUAGAAGACGGUACCUGACGAAUAAGCCAUUGCUAACUACGUGCCAGCAGCUGCCGUAAUACGUAGGUCGCCAGCGUUGUCCGGAUUUACUGGGUGUAAGGGGCGUGUAGCCGGGUCGAUAAGUCAGAUGUGAAAUCCUGCGGCUUAACCGCAGAACUGCAUUUGAAACUGUUGAUCUUGAGUACUGGAGAGGUAGAUGGAAUGCCUAGUGUAGCGGUGAAAUGCGUAGAUAUUAGGAAGAACACCGGUGGCGAAGGCGGUCUGCUAGACAGCAACUGACGGUGAGGCGCGAAAGCGUGGGGAGCAAACAGGAUUAGAUACCCUAGUAGUC
Molecule: ribosomal RNA, 442 nt
Filed under: uncultured bacterium
Lineage: Bacteria
Description: partial 16S ribosomal RNA
Rfam family: Bacterial small subunit ribosomal RNA
Source: RNAcentral